GAAUUUUGGUCAAUGGGCGAAAGCCUCAUCCAGCAACGCCGCGUGCAGGAGGAAGGACUCCGGGUUGUAAACUGCUUUUGUACGGAACGAAAAGCCUUGGUGUAAUGCCCUGUAGUAAUGACCGUACCGUAAGUACAUGCAACGACCAGCUAUCUGCCCGCAGCCGCCGUAAUACGUAGGGUGGAAGCGUCAGUCGGAAUUACUGGGCUUAGAGCAUGGGCAGGCGGUUUUGUAGGACAGAGGUGAAAUCCCCGGGCUCAGCCUGGGAACUGCCUUUGUGACUGCAAGGCUAGAGUACGGCAGAGGGGGGUGGAAUUCCGCGUGUAGCAGUGAAAUGCGUAGAUAUGCGGAGGAACACCGAUGGCGAAGGCAACCCCCUGGGCCUGUACUGACGCUCAUGCGCGAAGGCGUGGGGAGCAAACA
RNAcentral lists this ribosomal RNA (423 nucleotides) under uncultured bacterium. RNAcentral describes it as "partial 16S ribosomal RNA". It matches the Rfam family "Bacterial small subunit ribosomal RNA", at positions 359 to 774 of the family's 1533-position model. The record is from RNAcentral.